Molecule: long non-coding RNA, 595 nt
Filed under: Cercocebus atys (sooty mangabey)
Lineage: Eukaryota; Metazoa; Chordata; Mammalia; Primates; Cercopithecidae
Description: lncRNA (ENSCATG00000045852.1)
Source: RNAcentral
AAGAGGCCUAGGUUUGCAGUCUGCAGAGCUAUCUACAGGGCUGGUGGGAGACCCCUGAAAAGAAACCGGAGAAGCUUGCUGACAAAAGACUGGAAUUCUGGGCUCAGCUGUCUCCAGGACUCAGGGGCCCAUUGGGCAAUCCAUCACGGAGCACACCUGGCCUGCCCAAAGGACACAGCAGGAAGGAGAUAAACAGUCCCUCAGGACUCAAGCGGAAUAUUUUUUAGCAUCUUGCACUUUUGGUAAGUGACAGUUUUGCAAAUUGCGGAUAAAGAACUUAAAUGUCUAAUUAAAUCCUGAAGAUGUACAGGAGUUUGAAACGAGUGAUUGAUGCUCAACGGAGGUGCGGCUUCCUGACAGAGGCUGCCUGACAGGGACUGCAAAGCCCGUUCAGCAACUGAUGUCUUGUUGUGAUCCAUGUUGUCAUUUUUUCAUUACUGAUUAAAAUUAAAAAUCUGCUUGGCAAAUCCAUUGUAAAAAUUCCCUUCAUGAGCAUCGACGGGUACAAAUUAUUUUGUCAAUCGUCUGGCAAUCAAAAUGGGGCUGGAGACGGUUUCUAGCCCACACUUCUUUAUUAUCUCCCUCUCGCUCACGC